Non-coding RNA from Cinara cedri, 1002 nucleotides. The record is from the annotation of a GenBank genome assembly. Lineage: Eukaryota; Metazoa; Arthropoda; Insecta; Hemiptera; Aphididae.
UGUGUUUUUAGGGUUUCAUGUUGAGUUUGGCAAGUGAAGUCUGACUCGUAUUGCUACUUCUGGUGUACAGCAAGGAGGUAAUUUAUCUUUAAUCAAGAUUGCUACAUUAAUUUGAUAAAAAAAAAAAAAAAAAAAAAAAUUAAACGUGUUAUGGAGUUAUGAUUUUCAAUUACCUCUCGGUAAUUUUGUUAACAUACCAGGUGAUUCAUUCAAGUGAGUAUACUCAUUAUGGCGGAAAGCAUUAACUUUUACCGCAAUUUGUUUUCUAGAACAUUUAAGAAACGAGCUGUUUCAUAAUUUUAUAUUUGUGUUAUUUUUUGGGGGUAAAACAACUAUCUAGUUUUGAGUUUUAAAUGGCAACCUAACGUAUAUUAAAAAGUCCAUAAAUAGAUUGAACAUUAGUUAAAAUAAAUUUUAGUGUUGACAUUUUCGAUUUCUCUCCAAAUGUUUACAAGAUAUCAUUUUUAAUUUUAAGUUGGAAGAGAAUAGUUGGUGUAUUAUUAACACCCCGCACCACAUAAAUUAUACUCCACUGUUUUCCUCACACCCAAAUAUAAAAGUGGAAUAUUUCGCCAACACCUUGACAGAAAUCAGAAAUGUCCACACAAAAAUGUAUUUAAACUAAUACUAAAUCUUUUAAUGGACAUAAACAAUGCCACUUGAAAAUCAAAAGUAUGUUGUUUUUUGCCCCCAAAAUUUAUGUUGACAAAAAAAUAACAUAAAUAUAAAAUUAUGGAGCAGCUUGUCUCUUAAAUGUUCUACGAAAACAAAUUCUGGUAAAAGUUAAUACUUUCUGAAAUAUUAAUGUACUCACUAUAAUUAAUCACCUGAUACACUACUAGUUAAACUAAGAAUGUUUCUUAAAAAUGGAAUAAUUUUUGAUUUUAGAAUUUAAAUGUUCGACCCAUAUAAUGUAAUAUACCUUCUUAUGUGAUCCUGAGAAUUUCAAAUGAUUAGCUACCAGGUAAUUUGUUUGUUUUAUCAUGACCAAAAGUAAAUUUU